AAUAAACUAUACGUGUCUGGCCCUUGAUGUGAUUCUUAUUGUCCAGUGUGGCCCUCAGUGAAGUUGAAUUUGACACCCCUGCUUUAAAGGGUGGAGUUCAAAAGGGGUCACAUGCUUAUUUCACAGAUAAGAGGAACAUUGUAUUUUGAUUCAAUGGUGAUUUAAGUUUUACAGGGCUUUUUCAACAUAAAAAAAAAAAAACUCUAGAGCGCCGCUUACUGUGCUCCGUGGCUGCAACACAAGUAGCGCCUGGAAGUACAGCCGACGCUACAA
Sander lucioperca (pikeperch) is the source of this 273-nucleotide long non-coding RNA. RefSeq lists it as uncharacterized. The transcript has 3 exons. The record is from RefSeq and is a predicted model, not a curated record. Lineage: Eukaryota; Metazoa; Chordata; Actinopteri; Perciformes; Percidae.